GACGAACGCUGGCGGCGUGCUUAACACAUGCAAGUCGAACGGAAAGGCCCUGCUUUUGUGGGGUGCUCGAGUGGCGAACGGGUGAGUAACACGUGAGUAACCUGUCCUUGACUUUGGGAUAACUUCAGGAAACUGGGGCUAAUACCGGAUAGGAGCUCCUGCUGCAUGGUGGGGGUUGGAAAGUUUCGGCGGUUGGGGAUGGACUCGCGGCUUAUCAGCUUGUUGGUGGAGUAGUGGCUUACCAAGGCUUUGACGGGUAGCCGGCCUGAGAGGGUGACCGGCGACAUUGGGACUGAGAUACGGACCAGACUCCUACGGGAGGCAACAGUGGGGAAUAUUGCACAAUGGGCGGAAGCCUGAUGCAGCAACGCCGCGUGCGGGAUGACGGCCUUCGGGUUGUAAACCGCUUUCGCCUGUGACGAAGCGUGAGUGACGGUAAUGGGUAAAGAAGCACCGGCUAACUACGUG
This 468-nucleotide ribosomal RNA is filed under the name uncultured bacterium. RNAcentral's name for it is "partial 16S ribosomal RNA". It matches the Rfam family "Bacterial small subunit ribosomal RNA", at positions 28 to 507 of the family's 1533-position model. The record is from RNAcentral.